CUCAGCCCCCGGCCUGAGUCCAGGAAUUCUGCCAGAGCUGUGCAGGGCUGAGGGGGGCAGGGGUUUAUAUGGGGAAACUGAGGCCAGAGAGGCUAAAGUGACGUCGCACAGUCAGCAGUGAAGGACCCGGCAGUGAGGCCAGAACACAGGCCCUCGCGGAUCUGCAUCCAGCAGGCUGCAGGAAAACCCGGGAGUUCACAGUAACUCACACCGAUGACCUGGGGACGGAGCUGCGAGGUGCUGGGAGGAACCUUCAAUCCAGCAGCCCUGGCCAAGCGUGGCUCCCACCACCGCUCCUUGGCCCCCGGAGCCGGAGCUGGACUGGACCAGGCGCGGGCCCCACACCCUCCGGGAUCACGCAUUCACUCUCGCCUCUGGCUGGGGCAGCCCCACCCCAGCUGGUGCCCAAAGCACCUUGGAAAAGCCGCCCGCACUCGGUCCCCAGCACCCAGCCCCACUCUUCGCGAGGUGAGCAGAGAGCGAGGGGGAGCGGAGCGAGCGCAGGGAGCCGGCAGGCUGGCGCGCAGGAGAGAAAUGCAAAUGGUUUUU
This is a long non-coding RNA of Eptesicus fuscus (big brown bat), 549 nucleotides long. RefSeq lists it as uncharacterized. The record is from RefSeq and is a predicted model, not a curated record. Lineage: Eukaryota; Metazoa; Chordata; Mammalia; Chiroptera; Vespertilionidae. The transcript has 4 exons.